CCUACGGGUGGCAGCAGUGGGGAAUAUUGCACAAUGGGGGAAACCCUGAUGCAGCGACGCCGCGUGAGUGAGGAAGUAUUUCGGUAUGUAAAGCUCUAUCAGCAGGGAAGAAAAUGACGGUACCUGACUAAGAAGCCCCGGCUAACUACGUGCCAGCAGCCGCGGUAAUACGUAGGGGGCAAGCGUUAUCCGGAUUUCCUGGGUGUAAAGGGAGCGUAGACGGAAUAGCAAGUCUGAUGUGAAAACCCGGGGCUCAACGCCGGGAGUGCAUUGGAAACUGUUGAUCUAGAGUGUCGGAGAGGCAAGCGGAAUUCCUAGUGUAGCGGUGAAAUGCGUAGAUAUUAGGAGGAACACCAGUGGCGAAGGCGGCCUGCUGGACGAUGACUGACGUUGAGGCGCGAAAGCGUGGGGAGCAAACAGGAUUAGAUACCCCUGUAGUC
Molecule: ribosomal RNA, 440 nt
Filed under: uncultured bacterium
Lineage: Bacteria
Description: partial 16S ribosomal RNA
Rfam family: Bacterial small subunit ribosomal RNA
Source: RNAcentral